GAUCAUGGCUCAGAACGAACGCUGGCGGCAUGGAUUAGGCAUGCAAGUCGAACGGGAGCAGCAAUGCUCCAGUGGCGCAAGGGUGAGGAACACGUGAACAACCUGCCUUCGAGUUGGGGAUAGCUUCUGGAAACGGGAGAUAAUACCGAAUAACAUCAACUGGUCGCAUGACUGGUUGAUCAAAGCAGCAAUGCGCUUGAAGAGGGGUUCGCGUCCCAUUAGCUAGUUGGUGAGGUAACGGCCCACCAAGGCGAUGAUGGGUAGCUGGUCUGAGAGGACGAUCAGCCACAUUGGGACUGAGAUACUGCCCAGACUCCUACGGGAGGCUGCAGUCGAGAAUUUUGGGCAAUGGACGAAAGUCUGACCCAAGCAAUGCCGCGUGCGGGAUGAAGGUCUUCGGAUUGUAAACCGCUGUCAAGAGGGACGAAAUUUGACGGUACCUCUGGAGGAAGCCACGGCUAACUACGUGCCAGCAGCGGC
Molecule: ribosomal RNA, 480 nt
Filed under: uncultured bacterium
Lineage: Bacteria
Description: bacterial SSU rRNA
Rfam family: Bacterial small subunit ribosomal RNA
Source: RNAcentral